UGGGGAAUUUUGGACAAUGGGCGAAAGCCUGAUCCAGCAAUGCCGCGUGUGUGAAGAAGGCCUUCGGGUUGUAAAGCACUUUUGUCCGGAAAGAAAUCCUUGGCUCUAAUACAGUCGGGGGAUGACGGUACCGGAAGAAUAAGCACCGGCUAACUACGUGCCAGCAGCCGCGGUAAUACGUAGGGUGCAAGCGUUAAUCGGAAUUACUGGGCGUAAAGCGUGCGCAGGCGGUUUGCUAAGACCGAUGUGAAAUCCCCGGGGCUCAACCUGGGAACUGCAUUGGUGACUGGCAGGCUAGAGUAUGGCAGAGGGGGGUAGAAUUCCACGUGUAGCAGUGAAAUGCGUAGAGAUGUGGAGGAAUACCGAUGGCGAAGGCAGCCCCCUGGGCCAAUACUGACGCUCAUGCACGAAAGCGUGGGGAGCAAACAGGAUUAGAUACCCUGGUAGUCCACGCCCUAAACGAUGUCAACUAGUUGUUGGGGAUUCAUUUCCUUAGUAACGUAGCUAACGCGUGAAGUUGACCGCCUGGGGAGUACGGUCG
This 541-nucleotide ribosomal RNA is filed under the name uncultured bacterium. Its description in RNAcentral is "partial 16S ribosomal RNA". It matches the Rfam family "Bacterial small subunit ribosomal RNA", at positions 355 to 888 of the family's 1533-position model. The record is from RNAcentral.